This 664-nucleotide ribosomal RNA is filed under the name uncultured bacterium. RNAcentral describes it as "bacterial SSU rRNA". It matches the Rfam family "Bacterial small subunit ribosomal RNA", at positions 9 to 652 of the family's 1533-position model. The record is from RNAcentral.
GAGUUUGAUCAUGGCUCAGAUUGAACGCUGGCGGCAGGCCUAACACAUGCAAGUCGAGCGGAAACGAGUUAACUGAACCUUCGGGGAACGUUAGCGGCGUCGAGCGGCGGACGGGUGAGUAAUGCCUGGGAAAUUGCCCUGAUGUGGGGGAUAACCAUUGGAAACGAUGGCUAAUACCGCAUAAUAGCUUCGGCUCAAAGAGGGGGACCUUCGGGCCUCUCGCGUCAGGAUAUGCCCAGGUGGGAUUAGCUAGUUGGUGAGGUAAUGGCUCACCAAGGCGACGAUCCCUAGCUGGUCUGAGAGGAUGAUCAGCCACACUGGAACUGAGACACGGUCCAGACUCCUACGGGAGGCAGCAGUGGGGAAUAUUGCACAAUGGGCGCAAGCCUGAUGCAGCCAUGCCGCGUGUGUGAAGAAGGCCUUCGGGUUGUAAAGCACUUUCAGCAGUGAGGAAGGUGGUGUCGUUAAUAGCGGCAUCAUUUGACGUUAGCUGCAGAAGAAGCACCGGCUAACUCCGUGCCAGCAGCCGCGGUAAUACGGAGGGUGCGAGCGUUAAUCGGAAUUACUGGGCGUAAAGCGCAUGCAGGUGGUUAGUUAAGUCAGAUGUGAAAGCCCGGGGCUCAGCCUCGGAACUGCAUUUGAAACUGGCUAACUAGAGUACUGU